UGAGGAAAUAUGUGAAGUUCACGUGGGGUUCUAGCAAAUUGGAUGAUAAAUACACUAGUACCAAAAAGGGUUCAUGUUGUGGAUGUAUGACGAUUGAGAGUUCUCAUGGAGAUGGAUCUUCAUUAAAAAUUAAGCAACCUAUCAACAUUGAAACUAUCAGUUUUAACAGAAGAGGCCACUUACACAUUGACACGAAUGCCAUUCCUGAAAGCACCCAGACACAGAGAGUCAAUUCAUGUUUGGCAGGUGAUAAAGGAGAUCUUGAAAGGAAGUUUGCAUAUUCAGAGGGUAUACAAUCAGGCCUUUGAACAGGCAAGAUGGCAUCUUUAUCCAUCUGGGUUUUCCUUCGCUUGAACAGAAGAGGGUAAGGAGGGAGGAGAAGAAGAAGAAGAAGAAGAAGAAGAAAGUAAGAAAGGACGUAGCAGAGGAACGACCAGAAUCGUAGGCAGCCUCCGAGCAGAAGAGACGAUGCAGCAGAGGGAGAGGGCGCUUUCUUUUGUGCGACCAGAAGAGGGAAAGAGGGAGAAGAAGAAGAAUAAAUUUAAGUUUUUUUACUAUUUUGGUCGAUCCGGCCCGGUCGAUUUUUCAAACCAAAAUUUAGACCGUUUUCUUCGGUCUUGUAUUAUCUACCAUACACGUGGCCAACACCAAGUGUCAAAAUCGUAACCAGCCUCUGCCAGGCUCCGCCAGUAAAUGACACAGCAGAGGAGCUCGAUCCCUGUUAUGGAUUAGAUGCUCAACUUUAAUGAGCAUGUGCUCAUACGUCCUAAAAUCGAGGGUAAAAACUUCAUUUCAUUUUCUGUCAUAAGAAAAGCGAGCAUAAACCCAUCUCUGCUCCAUCCCUACCCGC
Macadamia integrifolia is the source of this 850-nucleotide long non-coding RNA. RefSeq lists it as uncharacterized. The record is from RefSeq and is a predicted model, not a curated record. NCBI's taxonomy places the organism in Eukaryota, Viridiplantae, Streptophyta, Magnoliopsida, Proteales, Proteaceae. The transcript is spliced from 3 exons.